CCAAUAGCGUAUAUUAAAGUUGUUGCAGUUAAAAAGCUCGUAGUUGAACUUCGGGGUCUACCCAUUGGUCAGGCUUAAUUGUCUGCACUGGUGAGAUGGAUCUCUACCUUCUGAGGAACUUUCAUGCCAUUUAUUUGGUGUGAUGGGAAAUCAGGACUGUUACUUUGAAAAAAUUAGAGUGUUUAAAGCAGACUAUCGUCUGAAUACAUUAGCAUGGAAUAAUGAAAUAGGACGGACUGAUUCUAUUUCGUUGGUUUCUAGGAUCACCGUAAUGAUUAAUAGGGAUAGUUGGGGGCAUUAGUAUUCAAUUGUCAGAGGUGAAAUUCUUGGAUUUAUUGAAGACUAACUACUGCGAAAGCAUUCGCCAAGGAUGUUUUCAUUAAUCAAGAACGAAAGUUAGGGGAUCGAAGACGAUCAGAUACCGUCGUAGUCUUAACCAUAAACUAUGCCGACUAGGGAUCGGACGAAGUUAAUUUUAUAAUGACGCGUUCGGCACCUUACG
This 502-nucleotide ribosomal RNA is filed under the name uncultured Glomeromycotina. RNAcentral describes it as "partial small subunit ribosomal RNA". It matches the Rfam family "Eukaryotic small subunit ribosomal RNA", at positions 591 to 1092 of the family's 1831-position model. The record is from RNAcentral. Lineage: Eukaryota; Fungi; Glomeromycota.